AUUUGAUUUUUCCUUUCUAAGUGUAGUACUUUGCACUUGCCUUUACUGAAUUUCAUCUUGUUGAUUUCAGACCUGUUUUCUAAUUUGUCAGUCGUUUAGAAUUCUAGUCCUGCCCUCCUGCGAGCUUCCAAGCAUGGUGUCAACUACAAAUUUUAUAAGCAUCUCUCCACAGCAUUAUCCUUGUUAUUAAUGAAAAUAGUGAAUAGUUCCAGACGUAGGACUAACUCCUGUGGGACCCCCUAGAUUCAUCCCUACCAGUUUGACAGCAAACCAUUGAUAAUUACUCUUUGAGUAUGGUCUUUCAAUCAGUUGUAUACUCACCUGAUGAUAAUUUCAAAUGGACCACAUUUACCUGUUUUACUUAUGAGAAUGUCAUGUGGGUCUGUGUCAGAAGGCUUACUAAAAAUCAAGGUAUAUCAUGUCGUCUACUUCCUCUCAUCCACUAGGCCAGUAACCCUGUCAAAGAAGGAAAUUAGGUUGGUUUGGCGUGAUUUGCUAUUUCUUAUAACCCUACUAUCUUGUAGGUAUUUACAAAUUGAUUGGUUAAUAAUUUGUUCCAGAAUCUUUCCAUGCAUGCAAGUUAGGCUGACUGGUCCUCUUUGUUCUCCUUUUUAAAGAUAGGUACUGUUUUUGCCCUUCUCCAGUCUUUGAGUUAUUCACCCAGCAUCCAUGAAUUCUCAAAGAUGCUUGCUUAUGGUUACGAGGUUGCUUCAGCUGGUUCCAUAAUACCACAGGAUGACUUUCAUCAGGACCUAACAACUUAAAUAUGUCUAACUUAUCUAAAUGUGCUUUAACCUGUUCUUCUCUAUUUUGGCUUGCAUUCCUUCCCCUUUGUUGUUAGUAUUGUGACCCAGUACUCAACACUAUUAACCUUUUUAGUAAAGUCUGAAGUGAAAUAGGCAUUGAACACUCAGCCUUCUUGAUGUCAUCAGUCAUUAGCUCUGCUUCCCUGCUAAGUAGAGGACCUACACUUUCUUUUGGCUUUCUCUUGCUCUUCAUGGUUAAUCCUGUGUUAACCCUAACAAGUACGUAGGGCUUACAAGUAUCCUCUAUCCCACUCUCAUUUGAGUCUAGCUUCCAUCUAGUGUCUGACUAGUAAUGGAACACUGAUUCUGUAACCUGCUCUGGAAUAGAGGGUUUGACAAAACUGGCUUCCUCACCAUCAGUUGCUCUGCAACCUGUCCUCGAAUAACACAUUAAUUUCUGGCUAUGCUCAAGAACUCUACCUUCCAGCACACCACUGGCUUGGAUGCUGACCUGCAAAUGAGUCACUUACCUCUUUGUGCCCCUCAUCUUUCAUAGUCCCAUUUCAAUUUUACCCAUUUACCUACCUCAAGGGGUAUGUUAAAGAUAUUAAGUGCUCAGUAGCUAGGGAUUGUAAUUUUUUUUUUGUACGUCUGUAUAAGAACACAUAAUUAGUGGGAAUUUUCUCAUGAGGGUCCAGUGAGAAACGUUCUCUUGUUUUGAGAUCAUUUAUAUGAAUAGCGAUCAAAGAGCUGACUGUUGAAAUGUCAUCUAAUUCUUUCCCUGUGUUUGUAUUAAGCCUACAAGUCAUUGCUUAGAGGGAUCAGAAUAACACUGUUGAUGGUAUGCUGGCCAAAACACAUGUAUAUUUUCUUUAUUAAGUGGCUUAUACUGAGAGGUCAUCAGACUGGGAAUGGCAGUAAAUCCAUGACUUCCUGUCUUUGCAUGGGAGUCUGGAAUGGGGGUGAAAGGGGGUUGAAAUACCAUAAGCUUAAUUGCCAGAAAUGGGCAAGAAGAAAAGUUGUCCAUGUUACCUGUGCAUCUUUUGGAAGAUUUGGGGUGGUCUAGGAGGUUUACAGAGCACCUCUCUAAGGCAAGACUGUCAUAAUGAUGGAAUCUCCCAAGAGUGGAGAAGUUGGCUGAUUACCUCUUUCAAUUGGCUGUACAUAGUUGUUGAGCAUUUUUGUAGGUGGAACAUAUUUGUAGUGUGAACAGCACUGUAACUUUUUGUACAUUAAUAAAGCUACGGUUUUUGUGUUCUCUUCAAAGCUGUGAUAUAUCUGUAUGGCUUGGUGAAGUGCCGACUGGUUUUAGUUUUCUGCAGAAUAACAAAACCUUGCAUGCGUUUUGCUUUGCACUGCAACCUGAAAGUUAACAUGGAGGAGAGAGCUGUUCCCAUCGUGGGGGAAUUUUAAGUAAAAUUCAUUACUGCUUCAUAAAAAUAAGCAACAAACCCUGGCAUUCCUUUGGUCUUCAGAUACGACUGACACAUGCUUACAAUUUUUUUUUCACCCCAUUUGGUUUCUGUAAUGGCACUGGCACAAUGCAAAUCUUGAUGUCUGUCAGUGACACUCAGAAAUGAUAAUGCAAUUAAAAUUUAAUUUGGCAAACAACUUAGUUUUUCUAUAGUAUGAAAUGAAACUUCAGAGUAGUUCUGAGUAAAACUUUUAAUAUAGCAAUGAAACUGCCAGUCUUUUCCCUGUGCCCGUAUCUCUAUGAAUAAGGCUUUAUAGGCCUAAAUGUCAGUGCUCCAUAGUGAUUAAUAUGGUAGUAAAAUAAAUUACAUGGUAUUUCUUUGUAAAUGCUGUGGUAGCCUUUCACUUAGAGGCUGGUACAAGCUAAUGUUUUUGAUGGUUCUAGUCUUGGCUAGAACUCGCAUGUGGUAUUGAGAUAUUACAAUCGUUUUGAUAUACAUACGUGGAGAAAUGGGGUUCUCAAGGAGUUAACCCUUUGUUCCUCUGCUCCUUUUUCAAACUAGCAUGAUCACACCAUUCCCCUUAAAGAUUAGAUCAUUGGUAAUAAAUACUAAUGAAUGAUGCUCCAUUGGCUGUCAGGUGGCAUUAACAAAUUAUUAUUUUGUUUCCUUCUCUUUUGUCCCUCCCCAAAGGCCAAGUAGAGAAUUAAAAAAAACAAAUUGAGGGCAGUGUAAUGUAAACAGAGUGUAUCUUCAUUUACUUUAAUGGAGUUACUCCUGACUUGCACAGAUUUGUAAGGGCAAUCAGGCCUUAGAGAUGCUGUUAGGUCAUAUAGUUUGACCUUCUGCUGUGUCUAGGUGACAGUUCUGACAUCUCAAUAACGUAAUUGUCCCUCUAGCACAGGGAACAAAGGCCAACGGUGGCUUCAACUUUCCGGCUCAGGUCUUUGCCCAUGGUUAUGUUGUCAUUGGUUUAGGUGUAUUUAACCUUUUAAAUGGAACUUUCAGAAUGGAAAUACAUUACAUUUGAUUGUUUAACAGAAGUCUGAUUCCCUAGACAUAUUAGCUGCAUACAAAACAGAUGUGGGGAAAAGGACAGUGUUACUGGUUUAGGCCAGAAUUUUCAAACUGGAUGCUUACAUUUAGGUUCCUAAAUAAGAGGCUUGCCCCCACUUUUUUGCUGUUGUAGAGCACUGAAUCUUGUAAAAUUACCUGUAUUAAUGAACUCUAUGGAAUUAAUAUUAGCCUUUAGUAAAAUGCAGAAAGUGAGUUAGUUUCACAAGAAGAGGUAAGAAGUGGUAUGUGAAUAAAACUUAAUUCUUUUUGUUUCUACACAAGUCAAAUAAGUUUGUUACUCUUAUGAACAGCUGUAUUUUUUUUCUAUUUAUGAACAAGUCUGUCAUCUUAUCUGGUAAGAUGUACUUUCCCAUGGGUAUAUAGCAUUAAUUUUUUCUUGAGUGCUUGCAUUUACUUGGGAAAGUCUAGAAUAUAGUUUUUAAUGUCUGAAAUAAUACUUAAACUUACACAGAGCUUUUAUCUGUAGGUUUCAAAGUACUUUACGGAGAUGGGUAAGUAUCAAUGUAUAGGAAAGAGAAGGGGAAAACUGGAACAUCUUUGUUAGUGCAUAUAUGUAUGUGCUAUAUGUAUCACUUCUGAUUGUUGCUAACAAUUUAAUAGCUUGAUCUUCAAAGACAAUAUGCAAACAAAUCUUAUCCAGAGAUUUGGCUUUGUUCCUAUAGUCUGUUUUCCUGGAAACUACAUAGGGAAUCCAAGUUGUCCCAUAGUCCUUGUCUAUGGAACGAUUACUUGGAGGAUACUGAAUAUGGGUAUGCCAUGCCCUCGAUGAGGACCUGUGACAUUAUCCAGGAUACAAUCUGGACAGAUGGACAGCUGUGUCGCCUCAGAUCUCCAACCUGGGGUGUCUUUCAUGCUGCUGUUCCUGCAGUGAGCAUAGAGGAAUGGAGAGAGUUUAGACUAUACAGGAAAGCGCUUGGACUGACAGCUUUGGAAACAGACCUGUUCACAGAAAGCUGCGUCUGAAGCAGUGCAAGAUGUGCCAUGCCAUCCCCCCAGUGUAUCUUGUUGGACGGCAUACUGGAAUGAGAACUGGACAAAUGUCAACCAAGACAGCAGAGGGCUGCAACUUUGUUUUGAUGUUCACAAUUAUAGAAUGUACAUAUCCCUGACCUCAUAAUAACUGUGCUAUACUAUAAAUCUGGAGUUAAUCCAGACAGAUUAAGGGGCAGACUCCUGCUGUGGCGAUCUGCUGGGUGCAACAGAGGGAGUGCUGGGAGAACCAUGCUUGACCCUCUGAUUCUCUCCCUCAAUCCUGAUGCAAAUUAGAGUAACGCUUAGGCUACAGACUGCUGGAGUGUUAUCCCUUAAUAUUCUCCCCUUCCCUGAAAGUGAUGUUUCCUUUGCAUUGAGGCUGCAAAGAGGGAGAUACAGGAACUCUUUGCACAUUGAAGAUUCUCCCACAUGGGGAUUUGGCAGCAAGGGACUUGUGUGGAUUUGCACUCCCUGAGUGCUGCAAAGGCAGAGGUUAGGAGUAGAGAAUCUGCCCCUAGAACUUGAAAGGAUCCUAGUACAAUCGUGCUGUCAGAGCUAUGGCCUACUGGCCAUAAGUUAUAUAAAACUAUAUGUUGAGGUAACUAGGCAUUCCCAACUUUCCUUAUCAGUUUGAUCAAAUUACCAACAGUCAAUCACAACUUUGCCUAUUAGAGGAGCUGGAUCACUAGGUAAGAAAUACUCGGAAUAACAUUUUAGCAUUUUGUUUGGCUGCUCUAUGAAAUUAACCAUUUAGAAUUUGUCAAGCAAUGAAUGGAGAUUGAGGUGAUCAAGUUUGAACUGAUAUCUGCAAAGUGCAUUUUAUCAGAAUAAAAUAGCCUAGGGCAUAGGAAAAAGUUGUAAUGAACUCAGGACAUAAGCCUGCUCUUCCUUUUGCAACUUUUUUUUUUUAAAGGGAGAGUUCUUUUGGUAAAACCACCAGUGUUUGAAAGC
Long non-coding RNA from Gopherus evgoodei (Goodes thornscrub tortoise), 5158 nucleotides. RefSeq lists it as uncharacterized. The record is from RefSeq and is a predicted model, not a curated record. The transcript is spliced from 2 exons. NCBI's taxonomy places the organism in Eukaryota, Metazoa, Chordata, Testudines, Testudinidae.